This 607-nucleotide ribosomal RNA is filed under the name uncultured bacterium. RNAcentral describes it as "bacterial SSU rRNA". It matches the Rfam family "Bacterial small subunit ribosomal RNA", at positions 290 to 916 of the family's 1533-position model. The record is from RNAcentral.
GCCUGAGAGGGCACACGGCCACACUGGCACUGAAACACGGGCCAGACUCCUACGGGAGGCAGCAGUGGGGAAUCUUGCACAAUGGGGGAAACCCUGAUGCAGCGACGCCGCGUGAGCGAUGAAGCCCUUCGGGGUGUAAAGCUCUUUCGGCAGGGAAGAUUAUGACGGUACCCGCAGAAGCAGCUGCGGCUAACUACGUGCCAGCAGCCGCGGUAAUACGUAGGCAGCAAGCGUUGUUCGGAGUUACUGGGCGUAAAGGGUGUGUAGGCGGCUCUCUAAGUUUGGUGUGAAAUCUCCCGGCUCAACCGGGAGGGUGCGCCGAAUACUGAAGGGCUAGAGUACGGGAGAGGAAAGUGGAAUUCCUGGUGUAGCGGUGAAAUGCGUAGAUAUCAGGAGGAACACCGGUGGUGUAGACGGCUUUCUGGACCGUAACUGACGCUGAGACACGAAAGCGUGGGUAGCAAACAGGAUUAGAUACCCUGGUAGUCCACGCCCUAAACGAUGCAUAUUUGGUGUGGGUCAUUCAGUUGAUCCGUGCCGGAGCUAACGCGUUAAAUAUGCCGCCUGGGGAGUACAGUCGCAAGGCUGAAACUCAAAGGAAUGACGG